This 241-nucleotide ribosomal RNA is filed under the name uncultured bacterium. Its description in RNAcentral is "partial 16S ribosomal RNA". It matches the Rfam family "Bacterial small subunit ribosomal RNA", at positions 15 to 244 of the family's 1533-position model. The record is from RNAcentral.
GAUCAUGGCUCAGGAUGAACGCUAGCUACAGGCUUAACACAUGCAAGUCGAGGGGAAACGACAUCGAAAGCUUGCUUUUGAUGGGCGUCGACCGGCGCACGGGUGAGUAACGCGUAUCCAACCUGCCCACCACUUGGGGGAUAACCUUGCGAAAGUAAGACUAAUACCCAAUGACAUCCCACGAAGACAUCUGAAUGGGAUUAAAGAUUUAUCGGUGAUGGAUGGGGAUGCGCCUGAUUAG